GAUGAACGCUGGCGGCGUGCCUAAUACAUGCAAGUCGAGCGAACAGACGAGGAGCUUGCUCCUCUGACGUUAGCGGCGGACGGGUGAGUAACACGUGGAUAACCUACCUAUAAGACUGGGAUAACUUCGGGAAACCGGAGCUAAUACCGGAGAAUAUAUUGAACCGCAUGGUUCAAUAGUGAAAGACGGUUUUGCUGUCACUUAUAGAUGUAUCCGCGCCGCAUUAGCUAGUUGGUAAGGUAACGGCUUACCCAGGCAACGAUGCGUAGCCGACCUGAGAGGGUGAUCGCCCACCCUGGAACUUAGACACGGUCCAUACUCCUACGGGAGGCCGCAGUAGGGAAUCUUCCGCAAUGGGCGAAAGCUUGACGGAGCAACGCCGCGUGAGUGAUGAAGGUCUUCGGAUCGUAAAACUCUGUUAUUAGUGAAGAACAAAUGUGUAAGUAACUAUGCACGUCUUGACGGUACCUAAUCAGAAAGCCACGGCUAACUACGUG
Molecule: ribosomal RNA, 497 nt
Filed under: uncultured bacterium
Lineage: Bacteria
Description: partial 16S ribosomal RNA
Rfam family: Bacterial small subunit ribosomal RNA
Source: RNAcentral